GACGAACGCUGGCGGCGUGCUUAACACAUGCAAGUCGAGCGGUAAGGCCCUUUUGGGGGUACACGAGCGGCGAACGGGUGAGUAACACGUGGGUGACCUGCCCCUUACUCUGGGAUAAGCCUGGGAAACUGGGUCUAAUACCGGAUAGGACUUCAUGCUGCAUGGUGUGGGGUUGAAAGUUUUUUCGGUGGGGGAUGGGCCCGCGGCCUAUCAGCUUGUUGGUGGGGUGAUGGCCUACCAAGGCUUCGACGGGUAGCCGGCCUGAGAGGGCGUCCGGCCACACUGGGACUGAGACACGGCCCAGACUCCUACGGGAGGCAGCAGUGGGGAAUAUUGGACAAUGGGCGAAAGCCUGAUCCAGCAACGCCGCGUGAGGGAUGACGGCCUUCGGGUCGUAAACCUCUUUCAGCAGGGACGAAGCGCAAGUGACGGUACCUGCAGAAGAAGCACCGGCUAACUACGUGCCAGCAGCCGCGGUAAUACGUAGGGUGCAAGCGUUGUCCGGAAUUACUGGGCGUAAAGAGUUCGUAGGCGGUUUGUCACGUCGUUUGUGAAAACUCACAGCUCAACUGUGAGCCUGCAGGCGAUACGGGCAGACUUGAGUACUGCAGGGGAGACUGGAAUUCCUGGUGUAGCGGUGAAAUGCGCAGAUAUCAGAGGAACACCGGUGGCGAAAGCGGGUCUCUGGGCAGUAACUGACGCUGAGGAGCGAAAGCGUGGGGAGCGAACAGGAUUAGAUACCCUGGUAGUCCACGCCGUAACGGUGGGUACUAGGUGUGGGUUUCCUUCCUUGGGAUCCGUGCCGUAGCUAACGCAUUAAGUACCCCGGCCUGGGGAGUACGGCGCAAGGCUAAA
RNAcentral lists this ribosomal RNA (855 nucleotides) under uncultured bacterium. Its description in RNAcentral is "bacterial SSU rRNA". It matches the Rfam family "Bacterial small subunit ribosomal RNA", at positions 28 to 898 of the family's 1533-position model. The record is from RNAcentral.